RNAcentral lists this ribosomal RNA (433 nucleotides) under uncultured bacterium. RNAcentral describes it as "partial 16S ribosomal RNA". It matches the Rfam family "Bacterial small subunit ribosomal RNA", at positions 29 to 507 of the family's 1533-position model. The record is from RNAcentral.
AACGAACGCUGGCGGCAUGCCUAACACAUGCAAGUCGAACGAGACCUUCGGGUCUAGUGGCGCACGGGUGCGUAACGCGUGGGAACCUGCCCUUAGGUUCGGAAUAACUCCCCGAAAGGGGUGCUAAUACCGGAUAAUGUCUUCGGACCAAAGAUUUAUCGCCUUUGGAUGGGCCCGCGUUGGAUUAGCUAGUUGGUAGGGUAAAAGCCUACCAAGGCGACGAUCCAUAGCUGGUCUGAGAGGAUGAUCAGCCACACUGGGACUGAGACACGGCCCAGACUCCUACGGGAGGCAGCAGUGGGGAAUAUUGUACAAUGGGCGAAAGCCUGAUCCAGCAAUGCCGCGUGAGUGAUGAAGGCCUUAGUGUUGUAAAGCUCUUUUACCCGGGAUGAUAAUGACAGUACCGGGAGAAUAAGCUCCGGCUAACUCCGUG